Apaloderma vittatum (bar-tailed trogon) is the source of this 74-nucleotide non-coding RNA. Lineage: Eukaryota; Metazoa; Chordata; Aves; Trogoniformes; Trogonidae. The record is from Rfam.
GCGCAGGUCAGCUCAGUCGGUUGAGCAUGGUGCUGAUAACACCAAGGUUGUGGGUUUGAUUCCCGUUCGGUCCC